GGUCAAGUGACUAAGAGCAUAUGGUGGAUGCCUUGGCGAUUACAGGCGAAGAAAGACGUGAUAGCCUGCGAUAAGCUUCGGGGAGCUGGCAAAUAAGCUUUGAUCCGGAGAUUUCUGAAUGGGGAAACCCACCCGCAAGGGUAUCGUUAGCUGAAUACAUAGGCUAACGAGGCGAACCUGGAGAACUGAAACAUCUAAGUACCCAGAGGAAAAGACAUCAACCGAGAUUCCGAUAGUAGUGGCGAGCGAAUUCGGAGGAGCCUUCUAGUGAUAGCACGACGGUUAACAAAACGGAAUGGAAAGUCCGGCCAUAGUAGGUGAUAGCCCUGUAUGUGAAAACUGACGUGUGGUACUGAGCUAGAGAAAAGUAGGGCGGGACACGUGUAAUCCUGUCUGAAUAUGGGGGGACCAUCCUCCAAGGCUAAAUACUCGUAAUCGACCGAUAGUGAACCAGUACCGUGAGGGAAAGGCGAAAAGAACCCCGGGAGGGGAGUGAAAUAGAUCCUGAAACCGUAUGCUUACAAAAAGUCGGAGCCUCGAAAGGGGUGACGGCGUACCUUUUGUAUAAUGGGUCAGCGACUUACAUUCAGUGGCAAGCUUAACCGAAUAGGGAAGGCGUAGAGAAAUCGAGUCCGAAUAGGGCGUUCAGUCGCUGGGUGUAGACCCGAAACCAAGUGAUCUAACCAUGGCCAGGAUGAAGGUGCCGUAACAGGUACUGGAGGUCCGAACCGACUGAUGUUGCAAAAUCAGCGGAUGAGCUGUGGUUAGGGGUGAAAGGCUAAACAAACUUGGAAAUAGCUGGUUCUCUCCGAAAACUAUUUAGGUAGUGCCUCAAGUAUUACCUGCGGGGGUAGAGCACUGUUUUGGCUAGGGGGUCAUGGCGACUUACCAAACCAAGGCAAACUCCGAAUACCGCAGAGUACAGCUUGGGAGACAGAGCACCGGGUGCUAACGUCCGGACUCAAGAGGGAAACAACCCAGACCGCCAGCUAAGGUCCCUAAAAUUGGCUAAGUGGGAAACGAAGUGGGAAGGCUAAAACAGUCAGGAUGUUGGCUUAGAAGCAGCCAUCAUUUAAAGAAAGCGUAAUAGCUCACUGAUCGAGUCGUCCUGCGCGGAAGAUGUAACGGGGCUAAGCCAGUUACCGAAGCUGCGGAUGUGCAAUUUAUUGCACGUGGUAGGAGAGCGUUCUGUAAGCCUGUGAAGGUGUCUGGUAACGGAUGCUGGAGGUAUCAGAAGUGCGAAUGCUGACAUGAGUAGCGUUAAAGGGGGUGAAAAGCCCCCUCGCCGUAAGCGCAAGGUUUCCUACGCAACGUUCAUCGGCGUAGGGUGAGUCGGCCCCUAAGGCGAGGCAGAGAUGCGUAGCUGAUGGGAAACAGGUCAAUAUUCCUGUACCGAUCAAUAGUGCGAUGUGGGGACGGAGAAGGUUAGCUCAGCCAACUGUUGGAAUAGUUGGUUCAAGCCUGUAGUCGUGCCUGGUAGGCAAAUCCGCCGGGCUGAGAUGAGGGGUGAUAACGAGUGUGCUUGCACACGAAGUGAGUGAUACCCUGCUUCCAGGAAAAGCCACUAAGCUUCAGCUAUUGACGACCGUACCGCAAACCGACACUGGUGCGCGAGAUGAGUAUUCUAAGGCGCUUGAGAGAACUCAGGAGAAGGAACUCGGCAAAUUGAUACCGUAACUUCGGGAGAAGGUAUGCCCCUAGUAGGUGAAGUUGAACAAACGGAGCUCAAUGGGGUUGCAAAAAAUCGGUGGCUGCGACUGUUUAAUAAAAACACAGCACUCUGCAAACACGAAAGUGGACGUAUAGGGUGUGACGCCUGCCCGGUGCUGGAAGAUUAAAUGAUGGGGUGCAAGCUCUUGAUUGAAGUCCCAGUAAACGGCGGCCGUAACUAUAACGGUCCUAAGGUAGCGAAAUUCCUUGUCGGGUAAGUUCCGACCUGCACGAAUGGCGUAACGAUGGCCACACUGUCUCCUCCUGAGACUCAGCGAAGUUGAAAUGUUUGUGAUGAUGCAAUCUCCCCGCGGAAAGACGGAAAGACCCCAUGAACCUUUACUGUAGCUUUGUAUUGG
RNAcentral lists this ribosomal RNA (2069 nucleotides) under Aeromonas caviae. Its description in RNAcentral is "partial 23S ribosomal RNA". It matches the Rfam family "Bacterial large subunit ribosomal RNA", at positions 1 to 2120 of the family's 2925-position model. The record is from RNAcentral. Lineage: Bacteria; Pseudomonadati; Pseudomonadota; Gammaproteobacteria; Aeromonadales; Aeromonadaceae.